GGUGAAAGGCCAAUCAAACCGGGAGAUAGCUGGUUCUCCCCGAAAGCUAUUUAGGUAGCGCCUCGUGAAUUCAUCUCCGGGGGUAGAGCACUGUUUCGGCUAGGGGGCCAUCCCGGCUUACCAACCCGAUGCAAACUGCGAAUACCGGAGAAUGUUAUCACGGGAGACACACGGCGGGUGCUAACGUCCGUCGUGAAGAGGGAAACAACCCAGACCGCCAGCUAAGGUCCCAAAGUCAUGGUUAAGUGGGAAACGAUGUGGGAAGGCCCAGACAGCCAGGAUGUUGGCUUAGAAGCAGCCAUCAUUUAAAGAAAGCGUAAUAGCUCACUGGUCGAGUCGGCCUGCGCGGAAGAUGUAACGGGGCUAAACCAUGCACCGAAGCUGCGGCAGCGACACUGUGUGUUGUUGGGUAGGGGAGCGUUCUGUAAGCCUGUGAAGGUGUGUCGUGAGGCAUGCUGGAGGUAUCAGAAGUGCGAAUGCUGACAUAAGUAACGAUAAAGCGGGUGAAAAGCCCGCUCGCCGGAAGACCAAGGGUUCCUGUCCAACGUUAAUCGGGGCAGGGUGAGUCGACCCCUAAGGCGAGGCCGAAAGGCGUAGUCGAUGGGAAACGGGUUAAUAUUCCCGUACUUGGUGUUACUGCGAAGGGGGGACGGAGAAGGCUAUGUUGGCCGGGCGACGGUUGUCCCGGUUUAAGCGUGUAGGUGUGUGUUCCAGGUAAAUCCGGUUCACUUUAACACUGAGGCGUGACGACGAGGCACUACGGUGCUGAAGCAACAAAUGCCCUGCUUCCAGGAAAAGCCUCUAAGCAUCAGGUAACAUCAAAUCGUACCCCAAACCGACACAGGUGGUCAGGUAGAGAAUACCAAGGCGCUUGAGAGAACUCGGGUGAAGGAACUAGGCAAAAUGGUGCCGUAACUUCGGGAGAAGGCACGCUGACACGUAGGUGAAGUGAUUUACUCAUGGAGCUGAAGUCAGUCGAAGAUACCAGCUGGCUGCAACUGUUUAUUAAAAACACAGCACUGUGCAAACACGAAAGUGGACGUAUACGGUGUGACGCCUGCCCGGUGCCGGAAGGUUAAUUGAUGGGGUCAGCGCAAGCGAAGCUCCUGAUCGAAGCCCCGGUAAACGGCGGCCGUAACUAUAACGGUCCUAAGGUAGCGAAAUUCCUUGUCGGGUAAGUUCCGACCUGCACGAAUGGCGUAAUGAUGGCCAGGCUGUCUCCACCCGAGACUCAGUGAAAUUGAACUCGCUGUGAAGAUGCAGUGUACCCGCGGCAAGACGGAAAGACCCCGUGAACCUUUACUAUAGCUUGACACUGAACAUUGAGCCUUGAUGUGUAG
Molecule: ribosomal RNA, 1340 nt
Filed under: Salmonella enterica subsp. enterica serovar Stanley
Lineage: Bacteria; Pseudomonadati; Pseudomonadota; Gammaproteobacteria; Enterobacterales; Enterobacteriaceae
Description: partial 23S ribosomal RNA
Rfam family: Bacterial large subunit ribosomal RNA
Source: RNAcentral